UGCAUCCUCGUCAAAUCUGGAUAGACUUACGCAAACAGCCACUUCCAUUGCGGUAUCCGUCACCAGCAAAUCCAUCCUUGCACAAGCAGUUGUAACCCGGUGCUCCCAGGUACCUCCCACAUCAACUCAACGCCAUAGCUCGAGUCACUCGGCACGUAACUCUUUGGGAAGAUCACGCUGGAGAAGCCGCAAGACCUUGGAGCACAGCUCGUCAAAACAACACUCCGAGCUCCAGCCGGAAUCGUGGUGACGCAGCAGUCUUCAAGCGUGCAAAACGGAUAGCGGGCGCUAGCGGUGCGAUUGCCGGAGUUGGGACAACCGGUCUGGCACCUGGACGCAGUCGGGUAGAGAUCCGUGGAGUAGUUGCCCCCGGCAUUGCAACCGGUGAGGAAGAACUCGUUGUUCCCGGAGAGGAAGUAUGGAGACGUUGGCUUCAAGCCCAAGCUCGCGGUGGCCUCGCUCCCGUUGCAAGACGUGGCCUUGAGGCUGGUCGCGUCGAUCACCAGAGUCGUGGCAGUGACUUGGAGGACACGGAAGCUCUCGGUGUCGGUGUGGAGGAGGAGAGCGAAGUGCUCUUGGUGGUGCUGCUUGGAGCUGCUACACUCGAGCUGGAGCUGGGGGUGACCGCAUCCAGGAAGCGAGCUGAGCGGCGAAGUGGCGAUGAUGGUGAUGCUCGCAACGAUCAAGCAAAGUAGUGAAGGAAUUAUCGAGCAAAGUUGUGGACAAGGUAUAGAAGAAGAAGAAGAAUAUUUGGGAGGAGAGCGCAUUGCUUUUCUUUACCGGGAAGCUGAUCAAGGCUUGUUUGGUGGUGCCUGAUAAAGGCGACAGCGACAAAUCCAUGGCGAUCGAAUCAACGUUUGGUGGCGGAACUAAAAACGAAAUGGAGAGAAGAGCGUGUGGUUUGUGUUAGACAGAGUUGCGUUAGUAGUCCAACGGUCAGGAUAAUUGCCUUCCAAGCAAUAGACCCGGGUUCGACUCCCGGCUAACGCAUGCCUCUUUUCUCUUCUUUUUAUAUCUAAAAAGUGCCUAUUCAUUGCGUUA
Selaginella moellendorffii is the source of this 1041-nucleotide long non-coding RNA. RefSeq lists it as uncharacterized. The transcript has 3 exons. The record is from RefSeq and is a predicted model, not a curated record. Lineage: Eukaryota; Viridiplantae; Streptophyta; Lycopodiopsida; Selaginellales; Selaginellaceae.